UACGGAGGGUGCAAGCGUUAUCCGGAUUCACUGGGUUUAAAGGGUGCGUAGGUGGGCAGGUAAGUCAGUGGUGAAAUCUCCGGGCUUAACCCGGAAACUGCCAUUGAUACUAUCAGUCUUGAAUACCGUGGAGGUAAGCGGAAUAUGUCAUGUAGCGGUGAAAUGCUUAGAUAUGACAUAGAACACCAAUUGCGAAGGCAGCUGGCUACACGAAUAUUGACACUGAGGCACGAAAGCGUGGGGAUCAAACAGG
Molecule: ribosomal RNA, 253 nt
Filed under: uncultured bacterium
Lineage: Bacteria
Description: partial 16S ribosomal RNA
Rfam family: Bacterial small subunit ribosomal RNA
Source: RNAcentral